Molecule: transfer-messenger RNA, 370 nt
Filed under: Candidatus Purcelliella pentastirinorum
Lineage: Bacteria; Pseudomonadati; Pseudomonadota; Gammaproteobacteria; Enterobacterales; Enterobacteriaceae
Rfam family: transfer-messenger RNA
About the family: Bacterial tmRNA, also known as 10Sa RNA or SsrA, is named for its dual tRNA and mRNA-like properties. Its role is to liberate the mRNA from a stalled ribosome.
Source: RNAcentral
GGGGCUGAUUAUGGAUUUGACGAAGAUAAUUGAUAUUUUGAAUGCAUAUCAAGAUGCGGUAGGUCUUGUAAAAAACCGUUAAAAUAGUAGUUGGAAAAUAUAAUAGUGGUUAUGCAUUAGCAGCCUAAAAUGCUGUUGUGCUCCUUUUUUAUACAUUCUCUUUGUGUGUAAAGAUAUAAAGGAUUUAUUUAAAGAGAUAACGUAAUGAAUAAUUACUUUGAUUAUUGUACGUAAAUUUAAUUUCAAAGUUAAUUUAUUAUAUAGUUUGUCUAUAAACAUAUUUUAAAUGAAUUUAGAUAUAGACUAAAUAUGUAGUAUUUUGGAUAUUAGUUUUUUUCGGACGCGGGUUCGAAUCCCGCCAGCUCCACCA